This is a long non-coding RNA of Amphiprion ocellaris (clown anemonefish), 1487 nucleotides long. RefSeq lists it as uncharacterized. NCBI's taxonomy places the organism in Eukaryota, Metazoa, Chordata, Actinopteri, Pomacentridae. The record is from RefSeq and is a predicted model, not a curated record. The transcript is spliced from 2 exons.
AGCAGUUCCUCCUGAAGGUCAGAGAUUGCAGCAUCUGAGGGCCUCUUCAAAAGAAGACGUAGUUGAUGAAGGCGUUCUGGAGCAGGACCAGAAAGACCACGACCAAGCAGCCUUGAGAUCUUAGGCAGCAUCUCCCUCAGACAUCCACCAACCACUGGACCACAUCUCCAAAGUUCUGCCAGGCCAGCUCAGCUUCCCCUCAGAAGAAGUUCUGCCAGAUGAAGGAGCCUUUUGAGAGGCAGCCGGCAUCGUGAUUGGACUGUACUUUGGUCUGUUCCAAUCCAGCUUCAGCUCCAGAGACGGCAGGCAGGACGAGUCAACGGAGGCCGGGUGGACGAAGGCAUGCAGCUGAGUACAAUCCAGAAAACAACAGAGGAGGAGUGCAGCGGUACAAUAUACAAUAUACAUCGUAUAUUGUACAAAUAACAAGUCAAAGCAAAGAGACAUACAUUGUAGAAUUGUAGUAAUUGUGGGCUGACUGAUUCACUGAUUAUCAGUAUUUUAUUUUUUACUGAUUUACGGUAAUAAAUCCAUUUAAAAAUGGCGCUACUUUGGCUCUGAACCUUAAUCUACCUGUGGUCACUCUGUCUUCUGGAGUGAUUUGAUUGGUUAUACGUCACGAAUAAAACUCCUUUAACUUAACAUCUGUAAACAAAACAAAAACGUAUCAACAAAGUUUUCUGUUAGAGUUUGUGUUCUUCUAAGUUUAACUCCAAGAUUUUAAAUACUUUCAUUUACUGCAAAUGAAUAUCGACUCCAAAUGUCUCACUAAUAAUCAUUAUCAGCCUUAAAAACCCACAAAACACCCCUCUAUACUCGACCACACUUAGUACAGUCCAGUUCCCCCUUCUAUAAAUCUGCUUGGAAUCGUCCACUUCCUGUUUGUCAAAGUGCCCUUCUACCUGGACAGGAUUUGUUGGAGCUCAUGCAGCAAACAUUUUGGGUAACUGCACUUUAAUAUGGAUGGAUGACACUGAAUUAGAGUCUGUUUUAAUGAGACUGAGUUAAGAUGUGUAGCUCUGUCAUUAAAUAGGAAAUUAUUUCUCUGAAUUCACAGAGAAAAGUCUGAAAUGUUUGCUAGGUUAGCGUCCCACAUGUUCUUUGGCUCAGCUAAAGCUAACUCUCUCCAACUUCUGGAUCUCUUGAGUUGCUUGUUGUUAAAAUAUCUUGCUAGAGGUGCUGAAGCUCAGAAAGUCUGAGAUGUUUGUUCAAAAUAAGCUUAUUCUUAAGUCUUAUCUGAACUGUCCUCUUUUGUUUGAACUUUCCCUAAACUUAGGAGUUAAUGACAGAGCAGCACAUCCAGACUCAGUCUCAUUUAUGUAGAGAUUAAACUUCAGUGUCAUUCAUUGAUGUUAAAGUGCAGUUUUUCAAAUGUUUGUUGCACAUGCUCCCGACCAAACCAGUCCAGGUGGAAGACAAUGUGAAGAGAAAGCUCCAGAGGAUGAAUAUCACACAUUUACGUUGGAAAUAAAUGUCCUUUAAUUAGA